Pan troglodytes (chimpanzee) is the source of this 5570-nucleotide RNA transcript. It is a transcript of the gene named mitochondrial calcium uniporter regulator 1, with no coding region annotated. The record is from RefSeq and is a predicted model, not a curated record. Lineage: Eukaryota; Metazoa; Chordata; Mammalia; Primates; Hominidae. The transcript has 9 exons.
CUCCUCCCGGUCGCCGCCGUCGCCUAGCGAAUGGGGUGGGGGCUCGCACGGUCCCCGCGGCACCCCGAGACUAGCCAUCCCGUCUCGUCCCCGCAUCUCGGAGCGCCACGGCGGGCUCCUGCCGCCCCGCCCCACCCCACCCCACCCCCGGCGCGCGUCCCGAGCCCCGCCCGCGCGCCCGGCAGGAAAGGGCGGUCCUGCGCUGUCGCCCACGCUCGCUCCCGCUGUCGGACUCUGGGCCUGGACCGCGCGUGACCGGCGCCAAGAGCGAGAGGCAUGAGCGCGCGCCCGGGCCAGUGAACGGCUCGGGGAUGGACUGCGGCUCGGUCGGCGGCCAGAGGACCCAGCGCCUGCCCGGCCGCCGGCGGCUUCUCUUCUUGCCCGUGGGCCUCAGCGGAAGACCGGGCGGCAGCGAAACCUCAGCACGCCGCUGCCUCUCUGCGCUGUCCCACGGUCUGGGGGCGCUGCGCCCUCGCGCCCCGGCGGCCCGCGGCGGCGUGUCACGUGCCUCACCGCUGCUCCUCCUCCUGCUAGUGCCCUCCCCGCGCUUGGCCGCCGCAGCCCCGCGCCGGCAGCUCGGGGACUGGGAGCGCUCGCGCCUCGGGUAUGCCGCACCCCCGGCCGGGCGCAGCGGCGCGUGGAGGUGCUCACCGGGCGUCGCCGCUGCCGCCGGCGCCCUUCCCCAGUACCACGGCCCGGCCCCUGCACUCGUUUCCUGCAGGAGAGAGCUAAGCUUGUCUGCUGGAUCCCUGCAGCUGGAGCGCAAAAGGAGAGAUUUCACCUCUUCUGGGAGCAGGAAACUCUACUUCGACACUCAUGCCUUAGUGUGCUUACUGGAAGACAAUGGGUUUGCUACUCAACAAGCAGAAAUCAUUGUGUCUGCAUUGGUCAAGAUCCUGGAGGCCAACAUGGACAUCGUCUACAAAGAUAUGGUCACCAAGAUGCAGCAGGAAAUCACUUUUCAGCAAGUAAUGUCUCAGAUUGCGAAUGUGAAAAAGGAUAUGAUUAUUUUGGAGAAGAGUGAAUUUUCAGCCCUCAGAGCAGAAAAUGAGAAAAUAAAACUCGAACUACAUCAGUUAAAACAACAAGUAAUGGAUGAAGUGAUCAAAGUCCGAACAGAUACCAAAUUAGACUUCAACCUAGAAAAGAGCAGAGUAAAAGAAUUGGAGGUACUGAGACCAGAAUAUUUAAGGCACCAGAGAAGGAGAAGAGAGAGGAGUAGAUCAGAAUCUGACCCAUGUUACGUGUUUAUUUCAGUAUUCAUUGAACGAAAAGAAGCUGCUGGAAUUGAGAACAGAAAUAGUGGCAUUGCAUGCCCAGCAAGAUCGGGCCCUUACCCAGACAGACAGGAAGAUCGAAACUGAGGUUGCUGGCCUCAAAACCAUGCUUGAGUCACACAAGCUUGAUAAUAUUAAAUAUUUAGCAGGGUCUAUAUUUACGUGCCUAACAGUAGCUCUGGGAUUUUAUCGCCUGUGGAUCUAAUAAAGUGUCUAUUUAAAGAGAUUUCUACUGUUUUGCCUUAAGAAUACCAGAUUGUUGGCCGGGUGCGGUGGCUCACGCCUGUAAUUCCAGCACUUUGGGAGGCCGAGGCAGGCGGAUUACCUGAGGUCAGGAGUUUGAGACCAGCCUGGCCAACACGGUGAAACCCUGUCUCUACUAAAAAAUUAAAACAUUAGGCGGGCGUGGUGGCGGGCGCCUGUAGUCCCAGCUACUCGGGAGGCUAAGGCGUGAACCUGGGAGGCGGAGCUUGUAGUGAGCCGAGAUCACGUCACUGCACUCCAGCCUGGGCAACAGAGGGAGACUCCGUCUCAAAAAAAAAAAAAAACGGAAUACCAGAUUGUUGUCCUUUUGUUUUCUUGUUACACAUUUGAGCCUGGAUUUUGACUUAAUGUGUAUUAUUUAUUUUUAUGAAAAUUGUGGACACAUAACCAAGAUAAAGAAGUCAGGUAUUCCAUAGCCAUUCCUUAUCUCCUUUCUGCUUAGUUGACUUUCUAGCUGAGCGGUGCACAGUGCAUGGAAGAUUCCACUUAGCCGGACCAGGAAGCUUGGUCUCAUCUGUGGUGCACAGCAACAGCAAACAUUGAUGUAAUUCUCUACAACUUAAUCUGUGGCACAUAGAGGAUUUGGGGGUCUCCAUGUUCAGGGCACAAUGGCUUUAGUAAGUGCUGGAAAAUCACUGAAGCUAAACCAAGAGCACCAGAUCCUCUUUACCUAAAUACCCAGUCUUUAACAUGAGCUAGUCCCUGUACCAGAGUAUUGUUUCAGCUGUAGUUGGUUGUCAUGUUAAUAAGACAGCUGCACCUCUACCUUCUUUUCUUUUGAUUUCCAUUGUCUUGGUAAGUUAUUGUUAGGGUUAUUUUUAAUGUGCCUUCCAGCCAGAAAAAUCAGCUGUCUAAAGAAGCAUUGCAAUUGUAAUGGGGACUCUUUUACCUCUUAGAAUGCAAGAUUUUCCCUCCUCCCUCCCUCUUCUCCAUCUCUUCCCCUCAUGAUUUGAGAACUGUAAUAAUCCUCCACUGGUGGCAUUACCUACCUAGAAAACCUGCUGAUUCUUAGCAUGGAACUUUGCUUCAGUUUGCAGGACAAAGUCUGCUUCCUUCCGGUCUUCAUUUACUUUUUAUACAAGGGAUGCAGUCAGCUCUCCAUGUGUAAGAUACCUAGAUGAUGGAUACAUAUUUCAUAAAUGAAAUUUAUGUCAUUAAUGAAUAUCCCCUUGCCCACAACCAGCUCAGGCUUUCAAAAUUCGAGAAUGGUCAUGCCACACAGCAUUCUAAUCUAGAUGGAUUAAUUCUGUUGUUCAAAACAUUCUCAUACCUGCCUUUAUAUUGAAAACAAAUUCUAGAUACAACUGGGGUUAUCCUGGAAAAGCACAUUCUCACCUUUUUUUUUUUUUUUUUUUGAGACGGAGUCUCGCACUGUCGCAGGGCUGGAGUGCAUUGUCGUGAUCUCUGCUCACUGCAACCUCUGCCUCCUGGAUUCAAGCGAUUCUCCUGCCUCAGUCUCCUGAGUAGCUGAGAUUACAGGUGCCCACCACCACACCCAGCUAAUUUUUGUAUUUUUAGUAGAGAUGAGGUUUCACCAUGUUGGCCAGGCUGGUCUCUAACUCCUGACCUCGUGAUUCACCUGCCUUGGUCUCCCAAAGUAGUGGGAUUACAGGCGUGAGCCGCUGCGCCUGGCCCAUUCUCAUCUUAUUCGAGUUACUGGCACAUGGGCAAGAGAGACAAUGGCAUGGAUAGAAGCUUUUCUGCCUUUCUCUGCACACAGACACGUACACACACAUACAGUGAAGGAACCACAGGCAGAUUUUUUGAUCAGUUUGGUGAAUACAUUACUCAUCACUGUUCCAACCACAUUGGUGAAAAAAAUAGUUACCUUUUGUCCUUUGGAUGUCAUGUCUAAACUUUGGAAAAUAUAAGUCAUUGCCCUUUUAGAGAAUGUUUGUGUAGUCCAAAGAUUGUGAGCUCCAUAUAGUAUGAAAAUCAAGUACUUUUGCAUGAGCAAUAGCAGUUUCAAAGUGAAAUAUUAUAAUUUAAUCUUUUUCAAGUAGAUCAAAAAUUCUUAACUGAUUAAUAAAAUAUUUUAUCAAUAUAUCAUCCCCCUUUCAGAGAAAAGUCCCCAGAAGAGACGGCACACUUAGCAAUUGCCCUCAUUAUUAAAGGCCUAGGUGAGUGGCAUAAAGGGCCAUAUGCGAUUAUGUUUCAAGGUAAACAUUACCUAACCUUGUGUGGGUUAAAAACAGUGAAGUGUCCUUGUAUCCUGAUAAAAAUUUUUUUUAAAUAACAUGGUGGGUUGACAUUUUUGCAUCUGCUGAAAGUUUUCUCACAUGUUGUUCUUCCCGGUGAGAGCGGGCUGCAUCAUUCUGGCACUUCAUUUGGGUGUUCGAUUUUGCUAUAGAGUUCUUUGCAGUACAGCAUAGCCUCUUUUUGGCCUUGGGAACAGUGAACUCUUCUUUUGAUGGUGUGGAUUGCAUGCAUAUCUGGAGAGAGGAGGGCUCAGGACUGUGUUCACUUUAUUUGGUCAGAUGUAUUGUAUUUGAAAACCAUUUGAGCCCAAAAUACAAGUGUACCCUUCCCACUUCUGGCUCAAGCACCUGUGAGCCGACUAGACGUAAUAUUAAAAUUUACUGAUGCUGGGCGCGGUGGCUCACGCCUAUAAUCCCAGCACUUUGGGAGGCCAAGGCAGGCAGAUCACCUGAGGUCAGGAGUUGGAGACCAGACUGGCCAACAUGAUGAAAUGCUCUCACUACUAAAAAUACAAAAAUUAGCCAGGCGUGGUGGCACACCCCUGUAAUCCUAGCUACUCGGGAGGCUGAGACAGGAAAAUCGCAUGAACCUGGGAGGCAGAGGUUGCAGUGAGCAGAGAUUACACCACUGCAACGAGACUCAGGCCCAGACGAGAUCUGCCUGGGCGACACAGUGAGACUCUGUCUCAAAAUACAUAAAUAAGUAAAUAGAACCUCCUGAGCUACCCUGGCUUAUAAGGAUUCAGAUUACUUUAGGAAAUUAGGCAUUAGCACUAGGACGGGGGAAGAUGGCUGGCAAAACUUCUAGCUAGCAACCUAUGUCUAGCACAUGGGUAACUAACCAUAGCGAGAUUCUGAACACAUAUCCUCUAGGUGCAGGUGGAGGGAACGAUGUCCAAUACCUGAAGCAGAAUCUCACAUGGACGGAAUGUCUGUAUUUCCCUCUCCUGCACGAAUCACUCAUCAUUCUUGGAGGGCUUCUCUGCAUUCCUCCUUUUCUUCUCUCCCCUCCCCUGCCUUUUGUCUUUUCUAAAGAGUCUGAACUCUGAUUUCCAUGCUCUCCUGCUACAUUAAUAAGCAAAACCUGCUUGUGUGUAUGGUUCUUUACUGGAAACAUGACUUUUUGUUUCUGUAUUGGUUUUACUGUCAUCCAGCUUUCUAGUUUAAUAUCUAGCAAAACUAAAUCUGAAUGUACUCGCUUUUUCCGUUAAGUAUGCCAAGCACCUCAGUUGAAAGGCUUGACUCAAACCAGAAGUCUUGCUGGAAUUCGUCUCCGAACACUUGAAAAACAGAAACCCUGAGCCGCAGCAAACAUGCCUCUGUGUGUCGGGAUUGCCUUUGUCUCUGCUUCCAUGUGGCUUUUCCCUUUGUAGCUAUGCUUAGUGACAUAAUCUUCCCUCUUCUUUUCUAGCCUUCUCCUUUCAAGCCUGUCUGUUAAUUAACCAUGUCAGUAUUGGCAAGCAUUUAUCUUGCCCCACCCUAACAUGCGAUCUUCUAAGAAUUUUGCAAAAUUCUAAACAAAUAUAGAGAUGGUAUAUAGAAUUCAUAUCUAGAAAACUUUGAUUUUAAUGUAAGCUUAUCAAAUUUGUUCUGGCUUUUUUGGCACUAAGGCAAAAACAUGUUAACCAGAAAUAAUUUAUUCUUCAUGUAUGUAAAAUAUUUGAGAAUGUUUAGCCUUUUAUUAGAAUUUUAUUUGGAAAAGAUUUAUCUUUCUACACAUUUUACACUUAUGUUCCUUUGCUUAUAACCCAAUUUCUUACCUGUUUUGUUACUUAAGCAAAUAUCAAUUGUUUUAUUAUCUAAUAAAGUGUAAGAUUCUUACUAUCUAAAA